RNAcentral lists this transfer RNA (93 nucleotides) under Streptomyces lavendulae subsp. lavendulae. RNAcentral's name for it is "tRNA-Ala". Lineage: Bacteria; Bacillati; Actinomycetota; Actinomycetes; Kitasatosporales; Streptomycetaceae. The record is from RNAcentral.
GCCAGCGCGGGCUGCGGCUCGGGCCCCCGGCCCGGCGCGCUGGGCGCCGCGACCACCAGGUGCUCGGCCGGGGUUCCGCACCCGGCGCAGGCG